AUGAAUUAUUUGCUAAUAUUUUGUGAUAUUGUUCCCAUCGAGGUGGCGCCUGGUCGGUCAUCACCUCAGCGAGACAUCGUCUUCCCUCCCAAGUUUUAUGUGGAGUACCUCGACGAUGCCCCUGGCCUUGCCGGCAACGACACGUCCAUCCUCCCCGCAGACCCCUACAGCCGCGCAGCCGCUCACGUUUGGGCCGCCUAUGUGAAUGACAAGUUGUUCCCUUCGUGCACCGGCAUCCUCAAGACAGCGAAGCAGGAGGAGAGAGCCAGUAAGGUGGAGGAGACCCUGUCCGGGCUCCGACACUUGGAAGCUGCCCUGGCAGAGUGCUCCAAAGGGGAGGUGGAGGCGCCGUUCUUCGGUGGUUGCUCCAUCGGGUUCCUUGACAUCGCGCUCGGGUGCUAUCUUCCUUGGUUUGAGGCAGUAGGCCGCCUGGCCGGCUUGGGGCGGCUUAUCGACCCGGCGAGGACGCCGAAACUAGCAGCAUGGGCGGAGCGGUUCAGGGUCGUCGAGCCGGUCAAGGCGCUGCUGCCUAGGGUGGACGAGCUGGAGCAGUACAUCACUACGGUGCUUUAUCCAAAGUGGAACGUCGCGGUCACCGGUAACUAA
This 606-nucleotide ribosomal RNA is filed under the name Triticum aestivum (bread wheat). RNAcentral describes it as "partial small subunit ribosomal RNA". The record is from RNAcentral. Lineage: Eukaryota; Viridiplantae; Streptophyta; Magnoliopsida; Poales; Poaceae.